RNAcentral lists this transfer RNA (69 nucleotides) under Trigonopterus singkawangensis. RNAcentral's name for it is "tRNA-Leu". The record is from RNAcentral. Lineage: Eukaryota; Metazoa; Arthropoda; Insecta; Coleoptera; Curculionidae.
AUUAUUUUGGCAGAUUAGUGUGCUAGAUUUAGAAUUUAGAUAUGUGGGCGGGUUGGUUCACAAAUAAUA